This 85-nucleotide transfer RNA is filed under the name Alphaproteobacteria bacterium. RNAcentral's name for it is "tRNA-Leu". It matches the Rfam family "tRNA". From Rfam's summary of the family: Transfer RNA (tRNA) molecules are approximately 80 nucleotides in length. Their secondary structure includes four short double-helical elements and three loops (D, anti-codon, and T loops). The record is from RNAcentral. Lineage: Bacteria; Pseudomonadati; Pseudomonadota; Alphaproteobacteria.
GCGGACGUGGCGAAAUUGGCAGACGCGCCAGACUUAGGAUCUGGUGCCGAAAGGCGUGUGGGUUCAAGUCCCUUCGUCCGCACCA